AUCACCUCCAGCAUUCCCAGUAUUGGAGGCAUUGCCUGCCCAGUGACAACUGUUUAACGGCCGCGGUAUCCUGACCGUGCAAAGGUAGCAUAAUCAUUUGUUCUCUAAAUAAGGACUUGUAUGAAUGGCCGCACGAGGGUUUUACUGUCUCUUACUUCCAAUCAGUGAAAUUGACCUUCCCGUGAAGAGGCGGGAAUGCACAAAUAAGACGAGAAGACCCUAUGGAGCUUUAACUAACCAACCCAAAGAGAAUAAAUUUAACCAUUAAGGAAUAACAACAAUCUCCAUGAGUUGGUAGUUUCGGUUGGGGUGACCUCGGAGAAUAAAAAAUCCUCCGAGCGAUUUUAAAGACUAGACCCACAAGUCAAAUCACUCUAUCGCUCAUUGAUCCAAAAACUUGAUCAACGGAACAAGUUACCCUAGGGAUAACAGCGCAAUCCUAUUCAAGAGUCCAUAUCGACAAUAGGGUUUACGACCUCGAUGUUGGAUCAGGACAUCCUGAUGGUGCAACCGCUAUCAAAGGUUCGUAUUGUUCAACG
Molecule: ribosomal RNA, 539 nt
Filed under: Bos taurus (domestic cattle)
Lineage: Eukaryota; Metazoa; Chordata; Mammalia; Artiodactyla; Bovidae
Description: partial 16S ribosomal RNA
Rfam family: Bacterial large subunit ribosomal RNA
Source: RNAcentral